This 1325-nucleotide long non-coding RNA is filed under the name Pogona vitticeps (central bearded dragon). RNAcentral describes it as "lncRNA (ENSPVIG00000018789.1)". Lineage: Eukaryota; Metazoa; Chordata; Lepidosauria; Squamata; Agamidae. The record is from RNAcentral.
GACAUCUGCAUCGCACACAUACACAUGUUCCGGAGCUGGGGCUGGCUGCGGAUUCCUGCCUCGCAGGAAAACCCGUGCGUCUUUUCAGCCGAACGUGUGAAGAAGCCCCUAAAACGGUGGCAAACGAACCAGAAAUGAUCAGAUGGGUUGAAUUGAUUGGUUUAGAUAUACGGAUCUCUCUUUCUCUCUGAAUUCAUUUGAGCAGAGAACUUUACCCGAAUUUUCAGGACAGCUUCUGCGGGAAUAUGCGUGUGAGAGAGGCAGAGAUGCGUGCAGAGAAAAAGAGAGGGAAAAGGCUGGCCAGAAGUUGCCCGUUUCUUCUGAAGGCGGCUCUGUGUGCUGUGAGGGGAAGUAAGUAGCAGAGCAAAGCCGGGGUUCUGAUAAAGUGGCUAGCUUAGAGAAGGAAAAGCUGUGAUUAGAAUAUGAAUAGAGCUCCAGGAGAGGAAGAGAAAGGGGGAUUACGGCUGAAUUACUUUGACCAUGGACAGAGCCAACGCGCUCGGGGAAAAGAGCCCCUCCUCUCAUUCCUUCCCCUCCUUUCCCUGUUGCUUUCCCUUUCCCUAUAUUCCCUUUAAAGUAAGAGGAGGGAGCGCAGGCUAGUAACCCAUCCCUGUAUUACCAUCGUCCAACUUUUAAAGGUCCCAUGAAAAAUCUCCAGAGGGAUGAAACAUAUUUCUAGCAGAUUUGUUAACAGCUUUUUGUUUUGUACUUUUCAGUAAUUCUGAGCGGCCACUGAUUCUUUUCCCCGCCUUAAGAACAAAUGUUGAAGGACGGGUGUGUGCUGGGCCAUGUUAGGGGAAAAUAAGAAAAUUGGCAGAUCAAAGGCCAAGGGGAAAGAUGCUCAGGAAAACCAAAGCUGGAAGAAAGAGCUAGAGAGGAUGUCUGGAUAAUAAAUUCCAAUGAGGUGGUGUGUUGUUUUUUUAAGCAGUACUGGAGUCUAAUCUCACACGGAGAAAACGCUGGAGAUCAAGGUGAAAAUAAAUGUUUAAUGUUCCAAAUGGCUUCAACAAGCCAGGAACGGGACAUUGAUCUGGAAGCAGCAGAUCUCGCUGCUUGUUGGUAGAAUUCAUCAAAGGGUUCUCCUGGCCCAGGUAUGCAGAGGGAGAGGAGCGCUCAUCAACAAAUACAACCACCACCACCCAUACAAAAAGUGGCUUGCUCUUUUCUGUCAAGUCGGAACUGACUUAAUAGCAACCCGGAGAGGGGUUUCAAGCCCCUUUCACCAUUAUUUUGCAGCAUCAUACAUGAUGAAGGAAUCUUUAGGUAAGACACACAACUUUAUAGUUUUGUCUGUUUUUAUAACGGCAAUGAAGGUAUCAAGGUAA